GACAGAGGGUGCAAACGUUGUUCGGAUUCAUUGGGCGUAAAGGGUGCGUAGGCGGCGCGGUAAGUCGGGUGUGAAAUCUUGGAGCUUAACUCCGAAACUGCAUUCGAUACUGCCGUGCUUGAGGACUGGAGAGGAGACUGGAAUUUACGGUGUAGCGGUGAAAUGCGUAGAUAUCGUAAGGAAGACCAGUGGCGAAGGCGGGUCUCUGGACAGUUCCUGACGCUGAGGCACGAAGGCCAGGGGAGCAAACGGG
This 253-nucleotide ribosomal RNA is filed under the name uncultured bacterium. RNAcentral's name for it is "partial 16S ribosomal RNA". It matches the Rfam family "Bacterial small subunit ribosomal RNA", at positions 524 to 776 of the family's 1533-position model. The record is from RNAcentral.